AUACGGAGGAUCCAAGCGUUAUCCGGAUUUAUUGGGUUUAAAGGGAGCGUAGGUGGACAGUUAAGUCAGUUGUGAAAGUUUGCGGCUCAACCGUAAAAUUGCAGUUGAUACUGGCUGUCUUGAGUACAGUAGAGGUGGGCGGAAUUCGUGGUGUAGCGGUGAAAUGCUUAGAUAUCACGAAGAACUCCGAUUGCGAAGGCAGCUCACUGGACUGCAACUGACACUGAUGCUCGAAAGUGUGGGUAUCAAACAGGAUUAGAUACCCUGGUAGUCCACACAGUAAACGAUGAAUACUCGCUGUUUGCGAUAUACAGUAAGCGGCCAAGCGAAAGCAUUAAGUAUUCCACCUGGGGAGUACGCCGGCAACGGUGAAACUCAAAUGAAUUGACGGGG
RNAcentral lists this ribosomal RNA (393 nucleotides) under uncultured bacterium. Its description in RNAcentral is "partial 16S ribosomal RNA". It matches the Rfam family "Bacterial small subunit ribosomal RNA", at positions 523 to 918 of the family's 1533-position model. The record is from RNAcentral.